RNAcentral lists this ribosomal RNA (884 nucleotides) under uncultured bacterium. Its description in RNAcentral is "bacterial SSU rRNA". It matches the Rfam family "Bacterial small subunit ribosomal RNA". The record is from RNAcentral.
GAAUCAGCCGGUCUCGCGAAUGCCUAGGCUUAAUUGAUCAUGGCUCAGAUCCAACGCGGUUAAAGCAUGCUUUACACAUGCAAGUCGAACGGUAACAGGUCUUCGGAUGCUGACGAGUGGCGAACGGGUGAGUAAUACAUCGGAACGUGCCUAGUAGUGGGGGAUAACUACUCGAAAGAGUAGCUAAUACCGCAUGAGAUCUACGGAUGAAAGCAGGGGACCUUCGGGCCUUGUGCUACUAGAGCGGCUGAUGGCAGAUUAGGUAGUUGGUGGGGUAAAGGCUUACCAAGCCUGCGAUCUGUAGCUGGUCUGAGAGGACGACCAGCCACACUGGGACUGAGACACGGCCCAGACUCCUACGGGAGGCAGCAGUGGGGAAUUUUGGACAAUGGGCGAAAGCCUGAUCCAGCAAUGCCGCGUGCAGGAUGAAGGCCCUCGGGUUGUAAACUGCUUUUGUACGGAACGAAAAGCCUGGGCUAAUAUCCCCGGGUCAUGACGGGUACCGUAAGAAAUAAGCACCGGCUAACUACGUGCCAGCAGGCCGCGGUAAUACGUAGGGUGCAAGCGUUAAUCGGAAUUACUGGGCGUAAAGCGUNCGCAGGNNGUUUUGGAAGACANGUGGUAAAAUCCCCCCGGGGCUCAAACCCUGGGGAAACUGGCCAUUUGUGACUGGCAAGGGCUAGAAUGCCGGCAGAAGGGGGAUGGNAUCCGCGUGUAGCCAUGAAAUGCCGUAAGAANGCCGGAGAACACGAUGGNCAAGGCACUCCCUGGGCCGACUGAACGCNCAUGCCGAANUGGGAGCCACCCGGUAGNCCCCGUUNGCNCGCAACAAGNGGGUGUGGCACACCCCACACACCGAAACGCNGGACCGGCGCGGAACAGAG